GCCUUCCUAGCUCAGUGGUAGAGCGCGUCACUAGUAACGCUAGUCUCAAUAUGGGCUGCGCUAGUCCCAAUCAGGACGUCACGUGAUGACGAGGUCGUCAGUUCAAUUCUGGCGGAAGGCA
Non-coding RNA from Alternaria triticimaculans, 121 nucleotides. NCBI's taxonomy places the organism in Eukaryota, Fungi, Ascomycota, Dothideomycetes, Pleosporales, Pleosporaceae. The record is from the annotation of a RefSeq genome assembly.